ACGAACGCUGGCGGCGUGCUUAACACAUGCAAGUCGAACGGAAAGGCCCUGCUUGCAGGGUGCUCGAGUGGCGAACGGGUGAGUAACACGUGGGUGAUCUGCCCCUUACUUUGGGAUAAGCCUGGGAAACUGGGUCUAAUACUGGAUAGGACCAUGCUGUAGGUGGUGUGGUGGAAAGAUUAGUUUCGGUAAGGGAUGAGCUCGCGGCCUAUCAGCUUGUUGGUGGGGUAAUGGCCUACCAAGGCGUCGACGGGUAGCCGGCCUGAGAGGGUGGACGGCCACAUUGGGACUGAGAUACGGCCCAGACUCCUACGGGAGGCAGCAGUGGGGAAUAUUGCACAAUGGGCGCAAGCCUGAUGCAGCGACGCCGCGUGGGGGAUGACGGCCUUCGGGUUGUAAACUCCUUUCAGCCAUGACGAAGCCCUUGUGGUGACGGUAGUGGUAGAAGAAGCACCGGCUAACUACGU
RNAcentral lists this ribosomal RNA (467 nucleotides) under uncultured bacterium. RNAcentral describes it as "partial 16S ribosomal RNA". It matches the Rfam family "Bacterial small subunit ribosomal RNA", at positions 29 to 506 of the family's 1533-position model. The record is from RNAcentral.